CCUACGGGGGGCAGCAGUGGGGAAUAUUGCACAAUGGGGGAAACCCUGAUGCAGCGACGCCGCGUGAAGGAAGAAGUAUUUCGGUAUGUAAACUUCUAUCAGCAGGGAAGAAAAUGACGGUACCUGACUAAGAAGCCCCGGCUAACUACGUGCCAGCAGCCGCGGUAAUACGUAGGGGGCAAGCGGUAACCGGAUUUACUGGGUGUAAAGGGAGCGUAGACGGCUGUACAAGGCUGAAGUGAAAGCCCGUGGCUCAACCGCGGAACUGCUUUGGAAACUGUAAAGCUUGAGUACUGGAGAGGCAGGCGGAAUUCCUAGUGUAGCGGUGAAAUGCGUAGAUAUUAGGAGGAACACCAGUGGCGAAGGCGGCCUGCUGGACAGAAACUGACGUUGAGGCUCGAAAGCGUGGGGAGCAAACAGGAUUAGAUACCCGAGUAGUC
This 440-nucleotide ribosomal RNA is filed under the name uncultured bacterium. Its description in RNAcentral is "partial 16S ribosomal RNA". It matches the Rfam family "Bacterial small subunit ribosomal RNA", at positions 338 to 795 of the family's 1533-position model. The record is from RNAcentral.